This 501-nucleotide ribosomal RNA is filed under the name uncultured bacterium. RNAcentral describes it as "bacterial SSU rRNA". It matches the Rfam family "Bacterial small subunit ribosomal RNA", at positions 29 to 526 of the family's 1533-position model. The record is from RNAcentral.
AUUGAACGCUGGCGGCAUGCCUUACACAUGCAAGUCGAACGGUAACGCGGGGCAACCUGGCGACGAGUGGCGAACGGGUGAGUAAUGCAUCGGAACGUGCCCAUCAGUGGGGGAUAGCCCGGCGAAAGCCGGAUUAAUACCGCAUACGACCUGAGGGUGAAAGCGGGGGACCGAAAGGCCUCGCGCUGAUGGAGCGGCCGAUGUCGGAUUAGCUAGUUGGUGGGGUAAAGGCUUACCAAGGCAACGAUCCGUAGCUGGUCUGAGAGGACGACCAGCCACACUGGGACUGAGACACGGCCCAGACUCCUACGGGAGGCAGCAGUGGGGAAUUUUGGACAAUGGGCGCAAGCCUGAUCCAGCCAUGCCGCGUGCGGGAAGAAGGCCUUCGGGUUGUAAACCGCUUUUGUCAGGGAAGAAACGGCCUGAACUAAUACUUUGGGCUAAUGACGGUACCUGAAGAAUAAGCACCGGCUAACUACGUGCCAGCCGCCGCAGUAACAC